Molecule: ribosomal RNA, 433 nt
Filed under: uncultured bacterium
Lineage: Bacteria
Description: partial 16S ribosomal RNA
Rfam family: Bacterial small subunit ribosomal RNA
Source: RNAcentral
AACGAACGCUGGCGGCAUGCCUAACACAUGCAAGUCGAACGAGACCUUCGGGUCUAGUGGCGCACGGGUGCGUAACGCGUGGUAACCUGCCCUUAGGUUCGGAAUAACUCCCCGAAAGGGGUGCUAAUACCGGUUAAUGUCUUCGGACCAAAGAUUUAUCGCCUUUGGAUGGGCCCGCGUUGGAUUAGCUAGUUGGUAGGGUAAAAGCCUACCAAGGCGACGAUCCAUAGCUGGUCUGAGAGGAUGAUCAGCCACACUGGGACUGAGACACGGCCCAGACUCCUACGGGAGGCAGCAGUGGGGAAUAUUGGACAAUGGGCGAAAGCCUGAUCCAGCAAUGCCGCGUGAGUGAUGAAGGCCUUAGGGUUGUAAAGCUCUUUUACCCGGGAUGAGAAUGACAGUACCGGGAGAAUAAGCUCCGGCUAACUCCGUG